Molecule: transfer RNA, 76 nt
Filed under: Prochlorococcus marinus XMU1406
Lineage: Bacteria; Bacillati; Cyanobacteriota; Cyanophyceae; Synechococcales; Prochlorococcaceae
Also listed under: 5 other names
Description: tRNA-Pro
Source: RNAcentral
GCAUAGAUACCUUUGUCUCACUAGAGGGGACUUAGUGCUUUGGGAGCACUAGGUCGCAGGUUCGAAUCCUGUCGCC